RNAcentral lists this ribosomal RNA (253 nucleotides) under uncultured bacterium. RNAcentral's name for it is "partial 16S ribosomal RNA". It matches the Rfam family "Bacterial small subunit ribosomal RNA", at positions 524 to 776 of the family's 1533-position model. The record is from RNAcentral.
UACGGAGGAUCCAAGCGUUAUCCGGAUUUAUUGGGUUUAAAGGGUGCGUAGGCGGCCUGUUAAGUCAGGGGUGAAAGACGGUAGCUUAACUAUCGCAGUGCCCUUGAUACUGAUGGGCUUGAAUAUACUAGAGGUAGGCGGAAUGUGACAAGUAGCGGUGAAAUGCAUAGAUAUGUCACAGAAUACCAAUUGCGAAGGCAGCUUACUAUGGUAUUAUUGACGCUGAGGCACGAAAGCGUGGGGAUCAAACAGG